Molecule: transfer RNA, 63 nt
Filed under: Cherax cartalacoolah
Lineage: Eukaryota; Metazoa; Arthropoda; Malacostraca; Decapoda; Parastacidae
Description: tRNA-Cys
Source: RNAcentral
GGCUUCAUAGUGGAAAAAAGACGUCAAAUUGCAAAUUUGGAGAUGUAAUGGUUACUGAAGCUU